Molecule: non-coding RNA, 531 nt
Organism: Chelmon rostratus (copperband butterflyfish)
Lineage: Eukaryota; Metazoa; Chordata; Actinopteri; Chaetodontiformes; Chaetodontidae
Source: the annotation of a RefSeq genome assembly
AGAUGUAUAUGAGACUCUCAGCUGUAGGACAUGGACAUUAUUAAACAUGGUCUCCUCAGCUUGCUGCUGUUUGUGCUCUGGAUAAAAGGUUUAACUGAUGGGAGUGAUGUCAACCAGAUUUCCACAUUAUGGAAGAAGGAGGGUGACAGUGCAACAAUAGACUGCAGCCACAAAAAGGAAGCUGGCUACAACCAGAUGUACUGGUACAGACAGCGACCAGGAGAAACAAUGAAACUCAUCGUGUUCACAUCAACUGCCAGCAAAGAUCAUGACUUUGGAGAUUUCAGCAAAGAGAAAUUCUCAGCCACCAAACCUGCCUUUGACAUUGGGACAUUCACAGUGAAGAAUCUGGUGCCACAAGAUGAAGGCUUGUAUUUCUGUGCAGUGAGCAAACACAGUGAUACAGACACAUGUGAAAGCUGAACAAAAACCCCAACACACUCUUAACCAACUGUACUCAUCUGCUCGACUGUAGGGGGACCUCAAGCACAAUCACAGAACAUCACAUAAUACAGCGACACUCCCACCUGC